GUGCUCACUUUGGCAUCAUAUAUACUCAAAUUAGAACAAUACAGAGAAUGUUGGCAUGGCCCCUGAACAAGGAUAACACACAAUUCAUGGAACAUUCCAUAUUAAA
Molecule: small nuclear RNA, 106 nt
Organism: Peromyscus leucopus (white-footed mouse)
Lineage: Eukaryota; Metazoa; Chordata; Mammalia; Rodentia; Cricetidae
Source: RefSeq, a predicted model, not a curated record